UGAAAGAGUUUGCAACUUGUAGUUUAUACUGCUCAAAGCCACUUUGGAUAGUCUUCCCCUAGUCGAAGGACAAAAUUAUGCCCAGGGGCAAAACAGUAAAACAGAUGAAACAUCAACACAGAAACAUCAGCUACACUGCAUAUGGUUAACUUGCAUUCACCCCAUUUUUACAAGGCACUUUGGACUGAACCAGAUUACUCCUCCAAAUGCUUCUCAACUGUCUAAAAUGGCUGUAAAACUAAAAUUUGUGUUUGCACACUCUCCUGAGCUACCUCACCCCUCCUCCAGCAAGGUCGUGCUUCACAAGGGAUUGUUGGUGUUUUAAAAGGGACAGUCUACAUAAUACAAACUGUUUGCACUAAAGAAGCCAAAGAGACUUCACAGAAUGUCCAUGGCAUUGACCUUUUCCUGUUAUGAUAUCUCUUUUGUAUACCAGGUUAUAAUUCUUUGGUAUUAAUAUCCAGCAUCUAGACAGUGAACUAGAAUUAUGGUUUAGAAGAUCUGCUUUGUUUGGGGUCAACAAUAGGGAGUUGGAAAACAAUUUUCUAAGUAUGCUUAACCGUUAGCAUUUCCUAUCAUAAGGUUAGACAAGUAUUGCAACUAGCUUAAAUAUUUAACUAGUAAUCUGUUUAAGUAUUACAAUACAGAAGAUAAGCUCAUGAAAAGAUGUUCAACGUCAUUAGUUAUUAUUAGAGAAGUGCAAAUUAAAACCACAAAAUAUCAUUACAUGCCUAUCAAUGGUUAAAAUAAAAAAAUGACAAUACUAAAUGCUGGCAAGGAUGCAGAGAAGCUAGAUUGCUCACACAUUGCUGGUGGAAAAGAAAAUAGUACAGCCUCUUUGGAAAACACUUUGGCAAUUUCUUUAAAAACUCAACAUGCACUUACAUACAAUUUAACAAUUGUAGUCUUGGGCAUUUAUCCCAGAGAAAUGAAAAUGUACGUUCACACAAAAACCUGUACAUGAACGUUCAUGAAAGCUUUAUUCUUAAUAGCUAAAAACUGGAAACAAACCAAAUGUCCUUCAACAGGUGAAUGGUUAAACAAGCUAUGACAUCCAUACCAGGAAUGCUGUGCAGCAAUAACUAUUGAUACAGGCAAAAACUUGGAUCCAUCUUAAGGGAAUUAUGCUGAGUUUACAAAACCAAUUUUAAAAUGCUACAUUUUAUGACUUCAUUUAUACAAUAUUCUUGAAAUUGUAAAAU
This 1202-nucleotide long non-coding RNA is filed under the name Homo sapiens (human). RNAcentral's name for it is "HSALNT0021996". Lineage: Eukaryota; Metazoa; Chordata; Mammalia; Primates; Hominidae. The record is from RNAcentral.